This is a regulatory RNA element of 66 nucleotides. It matches the Rfam family "S15-Flavobacteria ribosomal protein leader". The record is from Rfam.
UAUCUUUGCGCCCACUGAUAGAAAAUCUAUCAAAUACAUAAGAAUCAUUUAAAUAAUAUUGGCAUG